Non-coding RNA from Triticum urartu, 1603 nucleotides. NCBI's taxonomy places the organism in Eukaryota, Viridiplantae, Streptophyta, Magnoliopsida, Poales, Poaceae. The record is from RefSeq and is a predicted model, not a curated record.
GAAAAUCAGGCCCGACCCACGCAAAACCUAUUCCCUUUCCCCUUCCCCUUCCUCGUCACACCGCCGUCAGGUCUCCCGCUGCGGCGACGGCGCCCCUUCCGCCUCCGCCUCCGCCUCCGCCUCGCCGACCACGCCCCUCCUCCAAUCUCCCACGCAUCCAAACCACUCUCUCCCCUCUCCCACCCCCACCUCCUGCGCCUGCGAGGAGCGAUUCGUCGAGGAACCGCUGAGCAAGGCCAUCGACGCGUGCUUGAUCUGGUGUCUCUGUUUCUCUCUCGUACUCGAUCCCGAUCCACCCCCUUCUCUCGGCGCGGCGCAUGCGGGAAAGCUCGCUGCUGCGGUGGGCCUUGACGGCGGCGAGCAGGGAGCCGGCGAGGUAGACCACAAGGGCCGUCAUGGGCUCCACCUGCGCCCUCUUGCCGGCGGACUGCUGGUCGCCUCGGACUCCCGCGGCAUCUCCGACUGGCACAAGCUGCAGGUCCUGGGUGAGCCCGGAGAAGAAGCUGAUUGCCGAGUGCCAGGCGGCUGACCCGGGGGUGCUCAUCAACGCCUACAGCUUCUACGGGCUCCCAAGAGUGCAUCCACAUCACGGAGCAGAAGCUGGUUGCCGAGUGCUAGGCGGCUGACCAGGUGAUGCUCACCUUCUAUCAUUGCUCCUACCGUCUGCCAAGAGGGCAUCCUCAUGUAUGCUCUUACUGGCUGCCUCAGGCGAGGCAGUCCCGCUUCCCGCCCCGGUCUGCAUGCUCGGUGAUGCCAAGCAUGUGAGGGAAGUAUCUGCCAUUUACUGCUUCAUCAUAACCUUCGUGCCUGGCUAGUGGCUACUAUGGCUUGACGGACUACCUCCUCAGCCACUACCUCAGCUUCCCACACAACAUGAUGACAGUGGUUUUGCUGCAACCGUGGCGGUGGUGGCAGCCCCUAACUUGGUUCUGCCUUAAUGUGCUAAGAACAUGAAGCGUAUGGAGAUUAUCUCUUGCUCUCUGAGAUGGUGCUGGCCGUCGAGCUAGGUUGCUGUGAUGCACAACCACGUCGGUUAUUUCCAAACGGAGGGAGUAGUAACUAAUGUUGUUGCAGUUGAAUAAUCGUUGGUGCUAUCAUCAAUCAAUGUGGUGCAUAUGUAGCCGGGCUUUAGGGAGGAGGGUCUAGAGCCUAGAGCCUCCGUGAAGUUUGAUCUUGCGGAGGAGGGCGAGAAGGUGAAUGGAGCUUGUAGUGCCGCUUGGUCGAAAUUGGGUUGCUGCUGAUGCGAUUGAUUUCUGGUGGUGUGGACGGGUGCCUGGUGCCACUUUGUUUGUUUAUACGAUCUUUGCUUUGCAGGACAACACCCACCCAUAUAACUUGUGUGGACUUUGACGGUGAUCCGGCUGUGGCAGUACCAGUUUGUGCUGUAGGGGCGGUGCCAAUACUUUUUGUUGCUGUUGGGUGUAGGUCGAAUGUAAAUUGUUGAGUUUGUCAGCAGGUCGAAUGUAAAUUGUUGAGUUUGUCAGCAGGGUGUCGGAAAUUUUGGAUUGUAAACUGAAUAAGUCAAUGUAAACAAGUAGGGACAGAUUGGCUGGCUGAACCCUUGUUUCCCCAUGAAUGAAUGAAUGUAUUUUUGGUUAUUCUC